RNAcentral lists this ribosomal RNA (493 nucleotides) under uncultured bacterium. RNAcentral's name for it is "partial 16S ribosomal RNA". It matches the Rfam family "Bacterial small subunit ribosomal RNA", at positions 30 to 523 of the family's 1533-position model. The record is from RNAcentral.
AUUGAACGCUGGCGGCAUGCUUUACACAUGCAAGUCGAACGGUAACAGGUUAAGCUGACGAGUGGCGAACGGGUGAGUAAUGCAUCGGAACGUGCCCGAUCGUGGGGGAUAACGCAGCGAAAGCUGCGCUAAUACCGCAUACGAUCUGAGGAUGAAAGCGGGGGACCGUAAGGCCUCGCGCGAUCGGAGCGGCCGAUGUCAGAUUAGGUAGUUGGUGGGGUAAAGGCCCACCAAGCCGACGAUCUGUAGCUGGUCUAAGAGGACGACCAGCCACACUGGGACUGAGACACGGCCCAGACUCCUACGGGAGGCAGCAGUGGGGAAUUUUGGACAAUGGGCGAAAGCCUGAUCCAGCUAUGCCGCGUGCAGGAAGAAGGCCUUCGGGUUGUAAACUGCUUUUGUACGGAGCGAAAAGGUCCUUUCUAAUACAAGGGGCUCAUGACGGUACCGUAAGAGUAAGCACCGGCUAACUACGUGCCAGCAGCCGCGGUAA